This 259-nucleotide ribosomal RNA is filed under the name uncultured bacterium. RNAcentral describes it as "partial 16S ribosomal RNA". It matches the Rfam family "Bacterial small subunit ribosomal RNA", at positions 524 to 781 of the family's 1533-position model. The record is from RNAcentral.
UACGUAGGGGGCAAGCGUUGUCCGGAUUUAUUGGGCGUAAAGAGCGUGUAGGCGGCCAGGUAGGUCCGUUGUGAAAACUGGAGGCUUAACCUCCAGCGGUCGAUGGAAACCAUCUGGCUAGAGUCCGGAAGAGGAGAGUGGAAUUCCUGGUGUAGCGGUGGAAAUGCGUAGAGAUGCGGAGGAACACCGAUGGCGAAGGGCAGCCCCCUGGGCUACACUGGACGCUCAGGCACGAAAGCGUGGGGAGCAAACGGAUGAG